GAUGAACGCUGGCGGCGUGCCUAAUACAUGCAAGUCGAGCGAACGGACGAGAAGCUUGCUUCUCUGAUGUUAGCGGCGGACGGGUGAGUAACACGUGGAUAACCUACCUAUAAGACUGGGAUAACUUCGGGAAACCGGAGCUAAUACCGGAUAAUAUUUUGAACCGCAUGGUUCAAAAGUGAAAGACGGUCUUGCUGUCACUUAUAGAUGGAUCCGCGCUGCAUUAGCUAGUUGGUAAGGUAACGGCUUACCAAGGCCACGAUGCAUAGCCGACCUGAGAGGGUGAUCGGCCACACUGGAACUGAGACACGGUCCAGACUCCUACGGGAGGCAGCAGUAGGGAAUCUUCCGCAAUGGGCGAAAGCCUGACGGAGCAACGCCGCGUGAGUGAUGAAGGUCUUCGGAUCGUAAAACUCUGUUAUUAGGGAAGAACAUAUGUGUAAGUAACUGUGCACAUCUUGACGGUACCUAAUCAGAAAGCCACGGCUAACUACGUG
This 497-nucleotide ribosomal RNA is filed under the name uncultured bacterium. RNAcentral's name for it is "partial 16S ribosomal RNA". It matches the Rfam family "Bacterial small subunit ribosomal RNA", at positions 28 to 507 of the family's 1533-position model. The record is from RNAcentral.